UUAAUGGAGAGUUUGAUCCUGGCUCAGGAUGAACGCUGGCGGCGUGCUUAACACAUGCAAGUCGAACGAUGAAGACCGUGCUUGCACGGUUGGAUUAGUGGCGAACGGGUGAGUAUCACGUGAGUAACCUUCCCUUGACUCUGGGAUAAGCCCGGGAAACUGGGUCUAAUACCGGAUACGACCAGUCCUCGCAUGGGGUGCUGGUGGAAAGAUUUAUCGGUCUUGGAUGGACUCGCGGCCUAUCAGCUUGUUGGUGAGGUAAUAGCUCACCAAGGCGAUGACGGGUAGCCGGCCUGAGAGGGUGACCGGCCACACUGGGACUGAGACACGGCCCAGACUCCUACGGGAGGCAGCAGUGGGGAAUAUUGCACAAUGGGCGAAAGCCUGAUGCAGCGACGCCGCGUGCGGGAUGACGGCCUUCGGGUUGUAAACCGCUUUCAGCAGGGAAGAAGCGCAAGUGACGGUACCUGCAGAAGAAGCGCCGGCUAACUACGUGCCAGCAGCCGCGGUAAUACGUAGGGCGCGAGCGUUAUCCGGAAUUAUUGGGCGUAAAGAGCUCGUAGGCGGUUUGUCACGUCUGCUGUGAAAGCCCGGGGCUCAACCCCGGGUGUGCAGUGGGUACGGGCAGACUAGAGUGCAGUAGGGGAGACUGGAAUUCCUGGUGUAGCGGUGAAAUGCGCAGAUAUCAGGAGGAACACCGAUGGCGAAGGCAGGUCUCUGGGCUGUUACUGACGCUGAGGAGCGAAAGCAUGGGGAGCGAACAGGAUUAGAUACCCUGGUAGUCCAUGCCGUAAACGUUGGGCACUAGGUGUGGGGGACAUUCCACGUUUUCCGCGCCGUAGCUAACGCAUUAAGUGCCCCGCCUGGGGAGUACGGCCGCAAGGCUAAAACUCAAAGGAAUUGACGGGGGCCCGCACAAGCGGCGGAGCAUGCGGAUUAAUUCGAUGCAACGCGAAGAACCUUACCAAGGCUUGACAUGGACCGGACCGCUGCAGAGAUGCAGCUUCCCUUCGGGGUCGGUUCACAGGUGGUGCAUGGUUGUCGUCAGCUCGUGUCGUGAGAUGUUGGGUUAAGUCCCGCAACGAGCGCAACCCCUAUCCUAUGUUGCCAGCACGUAAUGGUGGGGACUCAUGGGAGACUGCCGGGGUCAACUCGGAGGAAGGUGGGGACGACGUCAAAUCAUCAUGCCCCUUAUGUCUUGGGCUUCACGCAUGCUACAAUGGCCGGUACAAUGGGUUGCGAUACUGUGAGGUGGAGCUAAUCCCUAAAAGCCGGUCUCAGUUCGGAUCGAAGUCUGCAACUCGACUUCGUGAAGUUGGAGUCGCUAGUAAUCGCAGAUCAGCAACGCUGCGGUGAAUACGUUCCCGGGCCUUGUACACACCGCCCGUCAAGUCACGAAAGUGGGUAACACCCGAAGCCGGUGGCCUAACCCUUGUGGGGGGAGCCGUCGAAGGUGGGACUCGCGAUUGGGACUAAGUCGUAACAAGGUAGCCGUACCGGAAGGUGCGGCUGGAUCACCUCCUUU
RNAcentral lists this ribosomal RNA (1525 nucleotides) under Nesterenkonia sp. AY15. RNAcentral describes it as "16S ribosomal RNA". It matches the Rfam family "Bacterial small subunit ribosomal RNA". RNAcentral also lists the same sequence under 3 other names. The record is from RNAcentral. Lineage: Bacteria; Bacillati; Actinomycetota; Actinomycetes; Micrococcales; Micrococcaceae.